GACGAACGCUGGCGGCGUGCUUAACACAUGCAAGUCGAACGGAAAGGCCCUGCUUUUGUGGGGUGCUCGAGUGGCGAACGGGUGAGUAACACGUGAGUAACCUGCCCUUGACUUUGGGAUAACUUCAGGAAACUGGGGCUAAUACCGGAUAGGAGCUCCUGCUGCAUGGUGGGGGUUGGAAAGUUUCGGCGGUUGGGGAUGGACUCGCGGGUUAUCAGCUUGUUGGUGGAGUAGUGGCUUACAAGGGCUUUGACGGGUAGCCGGCCUGGGAGGGUGACCGGCCACCUUGGGACUGAGGUACGGCCCAGUCUCCUACGGGAGGCAGCAGGCGAGAACAUUGCACAAUGGGCGGAAGCCAGAUGCAGCAACGCCGCGUGCGGGAUGACGGCCUUCGGGGUGUAAACCGAUUUCGCCUGUGACGAAGAGUGAGUGACGGUAAUGGGUAAAGAAGCACCGGCUAACUACGUG
Molecule: ribosomal RNA, 468 nt
Filed under: uncultured bacterium
Lineage: Bacteria
Description: partial 16S ribosomal RNA
Rfam family: Bacterial small subunit ribosomal RNA
Source: RNAcentral